ACUAACUUUCUAAAAUUGGAGAUAAAACCAUUAAGACAAAUACAAAAAAUGUGAUGCAAAGGCUGGACAUCAAUCCCUCUUCUUUUAGCCUUCUACAAAUGGUCCGGUCUGACACAACAAUUACAGCUUUAUGGAUAAGCUUAGUCAAUAAGUUUAGUGGCUUUUUUUCUGUUUUCCAGGCAGAUAAAUCUGAUUAUACUGUGUGCUCUUGGUGGUUUCUUGCGUUUAGAAGGUGGUCUCCUUAGACCAAACUCUUCCCCUGUAUAAAUUCUUUUUCUUACUUGCAUUACGGUUUGGUAAGAAACCUUUUGCGUUGGGUGAGAAACCUUUGGUUGUUGACCAAUGGUUUAUAAUCAAAAUUUAAUAUGGCUGACGGUAAAGGUAAAGAGAAAU
This is a long non-coding RNA of Hydra vulgaris (swiftwater hydra), 393 nucleotides long. RefSeq lists it as uncharacterized. The record is from RefSeq and is a predicted model, not a curated record. NCBI's taxonomy places the organism in Eukaryota, Metazoa, Cnidaria, Hydrozoa, Anthoathecata, Hydridae.